AUAGCUUAGAAGGUAUAUAAGCUCUAGAAAACUUUGUAAUCUUGAGUUGGUCUGGCGAUAAUUUCCAAACCUUCUCCCUGUCACCAGUUACAGAAAUAAAAACUCCCUCCCCCCCCUUCCAGUUCAUCUGUAUCUCAUUACUGGGCCAUGAGAGUAAGCAGCCCGGCCCUCAGUUUGGUCUGGGAACAGUGCUUGAUCCAAGACCCAAGCCUCCAUUCAGCAAACACGUGAGGAGUAUGUGGUAAUAAAAAAAAAAGCAAUGUACCUGCGCUUCGGGUCCUAUCACUUCCCAGGUCGCCCGCCCACCACCUUGGAGACCUCACUGCAUCUCCGGUCCUCUCUCUGCCCUGUGUCUUCCCUCUUUACAUUCCCGGCUUCUCACUAGCAUUUAGAUAUGCUCUUCCAUCUUAAAGAAAAAGCUCCUUGGCCAGGUGCGAUGGCUUAUGCCUAUAAUCCCAGCACUUUGGGAGGCCAAGGUGGGCGGAUCACCUGAGGGCUGGCAUUUGAGACCAGCCUGACCAACAUGGAGAAACCUGUCUCUACUAAAAAAUACAAAAAAAAAUUAGCUGGACCUGGUGGCUCAUACCUGUAAUCCCAGCUACUCAGGAGGCUGAGGCAGGAGAAUCACUUGAACCUGGGAGGUGGAGGUUGCCAUAAGCCAAGAUCGUGCUAUCGCCAGGCGCAGUGGCUCACACCAGUAAUCCCAGCACUUUGGGAGGCUGAGGCAGGCAGAUCAUGGGGUCAGGAGUUCCAGAUCAGCCUGCCCAACAUGGUGAAACCCUGUCUCUACUAAAAAAUUAGCUGAGCAUGGUGGUGGGUGCCUAUAAUCCCAGCUGUUCAGGAGGCUAGACAGGAGAAUAGUUUGAACCCGAGAGGUGGAGGUUGCAGUGAGCCAAGAUCGUGCCACUGCACUCCAACCUGGGUGACAGGGCAAGAAUCCAUCUCAAAAAAAAAAGAAAAAAAAGAGAGACCCCAGAGAGCUCCAGAGUUCUUUCAGCCACCUGAGGACACAGUAAGAAGACGGUGGUCUCUGAACCAGGAAGUGGGCCUUCACCAGAUCCCACAUCUCCUGGUGCCUUGAUUUGGUAUUUCUCAGCCUCCAGAACUGAGAGAAACAAGAAGCUGGAGAUGACUGCAGUACCUCUUCCUUGCAUUAGGGCAAAGGUUCCUCCCGGUCUCUCUAUCUCUAGUCUUAUCCCUGGCCAAUCCAUUCUUCACACUGUAGCAAGAGUGACUGUCCAAAAUGUGCAUCUGAUCCUGUGAUUUCCCUGAGGGCUUCGCUUUGCCCUCGGGCUGAAGUCCAAGCAUCUAAUUAGAUUGCAGUACUUGUUAAGAACCUUUUCAGCUCACCACCCGCGCCCUCCAGCCUGCUGCUUGGAUGACACUGGCACCAACCAGGAAGUUUAUCUGACUGCCUCAAACUACAUGAGGGGCCCCGAAGACUUGGCUGAUGGUCUCUCUCUCAUGGUUCUCAGAGCACCCAGGGACAGAAGGUUACCAUUCAUUGAGGAGCAGCCCAGAAGAGUCUAGAACUGGUCAGCCGGUACACAGUCAGAGCUAACACUGACUCCUGGAGGGCGGCUUGUCAUGUAUUCACCGGAGGCCUGAGACGCUCUGAGAUUUGCACGUAGCAUUCCUGGAAUGGCACCUUGUUUCUCAACCUAAACACUCUACGUUAUUAUCACUCAGAGACCCCCCUGCAGCAACUUUCCCUUCUCUGAGUCCAAUUUUUCUGCAACAACUAAUGUAGGAUUUAAAAGGAGAAAGUUACGAAUUUGAGAAUUCCUUUUAAGGAAAACACAACAGCUGGAGAGAGACGAAACAAAGUGGUUUUAAGCAUUUCACAUGUGCCCGGACUGUUAAUAUAUUUAUUUCAUUUAUUUUUGACAACUGUGCAAGUGCAUAUUAUUUUCUUCUUAUAGACGGGGAAACUCAGCUUGAAUAUAUUAUUUGCCUGAGAAAACAUAGCAGGGAAGUUAUGAAUUCAAAUCCAGUUUACACUCCAUAGCCUAGGCUUUCUAUAACAGAAAAAGUGUUUUUAAUUCAUUUACUGUCAAGUUUCUCCUUACCAGCAAUUCAGAAAUUACUUUUUCCUCUAUCAUUGCAUAUUCUAAGCCCAUGCCAACUCUAAAUAAUCUGUCUAUGCUAUAGAAGUAUUCAACUUAAACUAUGGAUUGACUAAAGGCCACAGGGGACUCACGCCAAGAAGUUGGAAACUUGAAAAUGGUAUAAGCAGGUCACUAGCUCUCUGUGGUCACAGCCACCCCCUAUAACUUCACUAUUCUUAGAAAUAACAAUAUAGGGCUAAGAUGCAAGCUAGUGGCGAGGAGGCAGAUGAUGGGGGUAGAGAAGGAAGAUGGGAAAAGGUUUUCCAGUGUGUCCCAAAACUGAGAUGGUGGUCAGGACCUCAUUCAUCAAUUACUGCAUAACACACAAUGCAGUUAACCAAAUGGGGUGUCCAAGACCACAAUGCAUUAGAAAUUCAGGAAAGGAGACUCCAGCAGAAGACAGGAUAACUGCAGAGCCCUCCGCUGGCCAAACGCUACAGUCGAUUUUUCUGGGUUCUUCACUGCAUUCUGGAGUAAAGUGCCUUGUGUACCUUUGCAGCCACUCUCACUGAGAGAUGGAAUCCCCACCUCUUAAAUCUGGACUAGUCUUGUGACCUCCUUGACAAAGAGAAUGAAGCAGGUGUGGCUAUGUGCCAGUGCUGAGCCUACACUUCAAGAGAUCCACUCUUGUGGAGCCCUGCGGCUACCAUGGGAAUAAGCCAGGGCUAGCCUGCUGGAUGAGGAAAAACACAUAGCCCAGUUGCCCCAGUAACCCAGCCAAAGGCCAGAACACGCUGUAGCUGAUUGAAGGUGCAUAAGUAAGUCCAGUGAGGAACAGAAGAACCAACUGGGCAUGGUGGCUCACGCCUGUAAUCCCUACCUACUCUGCUCAAAAGUGCUGUUCAAAGGAUUUGGGGUACAUCAUUAAACAGAAAACAAAUCCCCGCUCUCUUGAACUUUCCUUCUAUUUGAAGACACAGAUAAAAAGGUAAUAAAUCUAAUGAAUAAAUAAACGAUACCAGCCAGGUGCAAUGGCUCACACCUGUACUCCCAGUACUUUGGGAGGUCAAGGCAGGUGGAUCACCUGAGAUCAGGAAUUUGAUACCAACCUGACCAAUAUGGCAAAACCCCGUCUCUACUGAAAAUACAAAAAUUAGCCAGGUGUGGUGGCACACACCUGUAAUCCCAACUACUCAGCAGGCUGAGGCAAGAGAAUCGCUUGAACCCAGGAGAUAGAGGUUGCAGUGAGCCGAGAUCAUGCCACUGCACUCCAGCCUGGGCAACAGAGUGAGACUCCAUUUAAAAUAAAUAAAUAAAUGAAUGAAACCAUAUGUGGAAAGUUUUAAGUGCUGUGGAAUAACUAGAAUCGAGUGAGGGAAUAAGAAAUGUGGAAUGGAUUAUGAAUAUCAGUUUUAGAUGAGGUUCUCAAGGUAGGCCCUUUUGAAGCCAAGGUGAAAAGAUGGCUUGAGCCCAGGAAUUUGAGACCAGCCUGGGCAACACAGUGAAUCUGACCCCAUCUCUACUAGGCCCGGCACAGAUUUCUGAUAAGCCAAUUGAGAAUGAAUAAAUGGUGGUAACAUUAAGCCUCUAACUUUUGGUGUGGUUAUGACACAGCAAAGCUAAUGGAUAAUAAGCACUUCAGAGUCUCAAUAUGAGCCUGUUUCCUCAUCUGUAAAGCUGGGAUAAUAAUUUUUCCCCACAGGCACUUGGAGCCACUAAGCUAAUAGGAAACCUGCAAUAAAUUUUGCAUCAGA
Callithrix jacchus (white-tufted-ear marmoset) is the source of this 3802-nucleotide long non-coding RNA. RefSeq lists it as uncharacterized. Lineage: Eukaryota; Metazoa; Chordata; Mammalia; Primates; Cebidae. The record is from RefSeq and is a predicted model, not a curated record.